Molecule: long non-coding RNA, 321 nt
Filed under: Amborella trichopoda
Lineage: Eukaryota; Viridiplantae; Streptophyta; Magnoliopsida; Amborellales; Amborellaceae
Description: long non-coding RNA (ATRI_LNC002523)
Source: RNAcentral
CCACCUCCUCUUCCUCUCCUACCUGCAACUUAUGGGCCUUAGCUAAGUCCUCUUGCCCAUGGUUAUUCACUCAGCUGAACUCCUCUUCUCAACACAUCAGUCUUUCGGUGGUAGAGAAGAAUGGGUGGAGAUCAUGCAUUGUUACAGCAGUUUAUGCAAGCACCAAGCUAAGGCAUCGGAGGUCUCUCUGGAAGGAACUUCAGGAUCAGGCAGGGGCUAAUCUACCUUGGUGUGUAAUAGGUGAUUUCAACACAGUCUCUUUGCAGACCGAAAGGUUCAGUAUCAGGCCCCCAAAUCCCACUGCUGUAGCAGAGUUUCAGG